Molecule: long non-coding RNA, 513 nt
Filed under: Salmo salar (Atlantic salmon)
Lineage: Eukaryota; Metazoa; Chordata; Actinopteri; Salmoniformes; Salmonidae
Description: lncRNA (ENSSSAG00000113791.1)
Source: RNAcentral
GGACAAACAUGAGGCAAAUAUUAGCCUCUGGAGGCCACACAGGUGGCCAUAAAACAAAAAGGAGUGAAACUUUUGGAGGGGGAGUUAACCAGGCUGUGACGCUAACACCUGCAUCAGUAUCAGUAACCAUGGAGAUGAUGACUUCCACAGUGAAUUAUCUUCUAUCCAUCGAUAUUAAGGCAGCUUGCAGAGAGGCGUCAACCAAUGAGAAGUCGGCGCCAGGCACGAGGAGGACGGGGCAUUCACAAGCGUUGAAUAAUAAUAAAAAAUGAGUCUCUCUCUGCUGCAUUCCCCUCCGCUAGAGGCUUGUCUAUGCCAUCAGAGAGGUGUAACUCUCUGGAGCAGCUGGCUCCUAUGGUAAACUGCAUCUCAAAGAGCACUGCUAUGAUUUGGUUGAAUAUGAUUUCUCAGAUCAUAGCAUCACAUUCUCUAGGACAUACUUAUUUUCCCCUAAUGUUUUUUAGAAAGAUUAAAAGUGGAUAUGGCACAAUUAAUAAAAUAAAGAACACUUCA